Long non-coding RNA from Zea mays, 581 nucleotides. RefSeq lists it as uncharacterized. Lineage: Eukaryota; Viridiplantae; Streptophyta; Magnoliopsida; Poales; Poaceae. The transcript has 3 exons. The record is from RefSeq and is marked validated.
GCUUCCCCCUUCACAACUGCCUCAGCCCCGUGCAUCCGAACGCCAAGGAAACUGGCCCCCACUCCACCAUGGCCCGCCCACGUUGCUCGGUCUUCAAGCCCCCUGCAGUUCAACUGCAUAGCAGUCCUGGAGUCGCGCUCGCCGCCAAGCUACGCGUUGCCAUGCCCGGAGAAGGCUACGCCCGUGAUUCUCCCUCAUCGAGUUCGUCGCAAGAUCGCGAUUCGUUUCCGAGCUUCGAGGAAUCGACGGUCAAACAUUGGUGACCAAGUGAGCAAGCUCUUCAAGUCCUACAAAGUUGAAGACUCUGAGCAUCUGUUUGGUGAAGGUUGCCUUUGGUGCAAUCUAUGCUCAGGUAAAGAAGGUGUCGAGGCGAAUCUCCAGGAGUUCCAAGACUUCGACGAGUCCGAGGAUUAGGCUAGCGACCUCCCCCAGUCAGCUGCCUGUGGUGGGUUGUUUACGUUUGCUACGUUUCGAUUCUGUGUACUUUGAUUUAUAUUAUGUAAAUGGCUCUAGUCUGUAAUAUUAUUACUUACUCUUUAUUGUAAUUAGAAGCAUUGUGCUAUGAUGAGUUAUUUAUGUAA